Molecule: ribosomal RNA, 239 nt
Filed under: uncultured bacterium
Lineage: Bacteria
Description: partial 16S ribosomal RNA
Rfam family: Bacterial small subunit ribosomal RNA
Source: RNAcentral
UACGUAGGGGGCUAGCGUUGUCCGGAAUCAUUGGGCGUAAAGAGCGUGUAGGCGGCCCGGUAAGUCCGCUGUGAAAGUCGGGGGCUCAACCCUCGGAUGCCGGUGGAUACUGUCGGGCUCGAGUACGGAAGAGGCGAGUGGAAUUCCUGGUGUAGCGGUGAAAUGCGCAGAUAUCAGGAGGAACACCUAUUGCGAAGGCAGCUCGCUGGGACGUUACUGACGCUGAGACGCGAAGCGUG